This 564-nucleotide ribosomal RNA is filed under the name uncultured bacterium. RNAcentral's name for it is "bacterial SSU rRNA". It matches the Rfam family "Bacterial small subunit ribosomal RNA", at positions 358 to 917 of the family's 1533-position model. The record is from RNAcentral.
GGGAUUUUGGCAUGGGGGCAACCCUGNUCCAGCAAUGCCGCGUGAGUGAAGAAGGCCUUCGGGUUGUAAAGCUCUUUUGUCGGGGAAGAAACGGUGGCCUCUAAUAUAGGUUGCUAAUGACGGUACCUGAAGAAUAAGCACCGGCUAACUACGUGCCAGCAGCCGCGGUAAUACGUAGGGUGCAAGCGUUAAUCGGAAUUACUGGGCGUAAAGCGUGCGCAGGCGGUUAUGUAAGUCAGAUGUGAAAUCCCCGGGCUUAACCUGGGAAUGGCAUUUGAGACUGCAUGGCUAGAGUGUGUCAGAGGGGGGUAGAAUUCCACGUGUAGCAGUGAAAUGCGUAGAGAUGUGGAGGAAUACCGAUGGCGAAGGCAGCCCCCUGGGAUAACACUGACGCUCAUGCACGAAAGCGUGGGGAGCAAACAGGAUUAGAUACCCUGGUAGUCCACGCCCUAAACGAUGUCUACUAGUUGUCGGGUCUUAAUUGACUUGGUAACGCAGCUAACGCGUGAAGUAGACCGCCUGGGGAGUACGGUCGCAAGAUUAAAACUCAAAAAAAUUGACGGA